RNAcentral lists this ribosomal RNA (326 nucleotides) under uncultured bacterium. RNAcentral describes it as "bacterial SSU rRNA". It matches the Rfam family "Bacterial small subunit ribosomal RNA", at positions 1 to 334 of the family's 1533-position model. The record is from RNAcentral.
UAUCGCGAGUCAGAGUUUGAUCCUGGCUCAGGAUGAACGCUGACAGAAUGCUUAACACAUGCAAGUCGACUCGAGUCUUCGGACUUGGGUGGCGCACGGGUGAGUAACACGUAUCCAACCUUCCGGUAACUCCGGUAUAGCCUUUCGAAAGAAAGAUUAAUCCCGGAUAGUAUGGUGAUUCCGCAUGGUUUCUCCAUUAAAGGAUUCCGGUUACCGAUGGGGAUGCGUUCCAUUAGGCAGUUGGCGGGGUAACGGCCCACCAAACCUACGAUGGAUAGGGGUUCUGAGAGGAAGGUCCCCCACAUUGGAACUGAGACACGGUCCAA